GACGAACGCUGGCGGCGUGCUUAACACAUGCAAGUCGAACGGAAAGGCCCUGCUUGCAGGGUAUUCGAGUGGCGAACGGGUGAGUAACACGUGGGUGAUCUGCCCUGCACUUCGGGAUAAGCCUGGGAAACUGGGUCUAAUACCGGAUAGGAGCCAUUUUUAGUGUGAUGGUUGGAAAGUUUUUUCGGUGUAGGAUGAGCUCGCGGCCUAUCAGCUUGUUGGUGGGGUAAUGGCCUACCAAGGCGGCGACGGGUAGCCGGCCUGAGAGGGUGGACGGCCACAUUGGGACUGAGAUACGGCCCAGACUCCUACGGGAGGCAGCGGUGGGGAAUAUUGCACAAUGGGCGCAAGCCUGAUGCAGCGACGCCGCGUGGGGGAUGACGGCCUUCGGGUUGUAAACUCCUUUCGCUAGGGACGAAGCUUUUUGUGACGGUACCUAGAUAAGAAGCACCGGCUAACUACGUG
Molecule: ribosomal RNA, 465 nt
Filed under: uncultured bacterium
Lineage: Bacteria
Description: partial 16S ribosomal RNA
Rfam family: Bacterial small subunit ribosomal RNA
Source: RNAcentral